ACAUCCUCAACCUUCCCGGUUUCUCAACCGGGGAAGGCUUGGACUUUGGAGGUUUUCUCUUGCUGGCCUUCCUUUGAAGCCGGCUCCUCCUAAAUGGAUUAGUGGGGUCCGCUUUGCCGAUCCUUGACGUGAUAAGUGUGCUUCUACGUCUUGGGUUUCGGCACUGCCUUGGCCUGGAACCCGCCUCCAAUGGUCUCUCUUUUGAAAGACGAUCUUAGA
Molecule: unclassified non-coding RNA, 219 nt
Filed under: uncultured Russula
Lineage: Eukaryota; Fungi; Basidiomycota; Agaricomycetes; Russulales; Russulaceae
Description: sequence contains ITS2
Source: RNAcentral